This 506-nucleotide ribosomal RNA is filed under the name uncultured bacterium. Its description in RNAcentral is "partial 16S ribosomal RNA". It matches the Rfam family "Bacterial small subunit ribosomal RNA", at positions 29 to 523 of the family's 1533-position model. The record is from RNAcentral.
AGUGAACGCAGGCGGUAGGCCUAACACAUGCAAGUCGAACGGCAGCACAGGAGAGCUUGCUCUCUGGGUGUCGAGUGGCGGACGGGGGAGGAAUACAUCGGAAUUUACUCUGUCGUGGGGGAUAACGUAGGGAAAAUUACGCUAAUACCGCAUACGACCUACGUGUGAAAGCAGGGGAUCUUCGGAUCUUGCGCGAUUGACUGAGCCGAUGUCGGAUUAGCUAGUUGGCGGGGUAAAGGCCCACCAAGGCGACGAUCCGUAGCUGGUCUGAGAGGAUGAUCAGCCACACUGGAACUGAGACACGGUCCAGACUCCUACGGGAGGCAGCAGUGGGGAAUAUUGGACAAUGGGCGCAAGCCUGAUCCAGCCAUACCGAGUGGGUGAAGAAGGCCUUCGGGUUGUAAAGCCCUUUUGUUGGGAAAGAAAUCCAGCUGGCUAAUACCCGGUUGGGAUGACGGUACCCAAAGAAUAAGCACCGGCUAACUUCGUGCCAGCCGCCGCCGUAA